GGAGGAGAGCAAGGCAAAG
This 19-nucleotide unclassified non-coding RNA is filed under the name Mus musculus (house mouse). RNAcentral's name for it is "oocyte_clustered_small_RNA9966". The record is from RNAcentral. Lineage: Eukaryota; Metazoa; Chordata; Mammalia; Rodentia; Muridae.